UACGUAGGGUGCGAGCGCUAAUCGGAAUUACUGGGCGUAAAGCGUGCGUAGGUGGUUCUUUAAGUCAGAUGUGAAAUCCCUGGGCUCAACCUAGGAACUGCAUUUGAUACUGAAGAGCUAGAGUGUGGUAGAGGAUAGUGGAAUUCCCGGUGUAGCGGUGAAAUGCGUAGAUAUCGGGAGGAACAUCAGUGGCGAAGGCGGCUAUCUGGACCAACACUGACACUGAGGCACGAAAGCGUGGGUAGCAAACAGG
Molecule: ribosomal RNA, 253 nt
Filed under: uncultured bacterium
Lineage: Bacteria
Description: partial 16S ribosomal RNA
Rfam family: Bacterial small subunit ribosomal RNA
Source: RNAcentral